CGAAAGCCUGACGGAGCAACGCCGCGUGAGGGAUGAAGGCCUCUGGGCUGUAAACCUCUUUUAUCAAGGAAGAAGAUCUGACGGUACUUGAUGAAUAAGCCACGGCUAAUUCCGUGCCAGCAGCCGCGGUAAUACGGGAGUGGCAAGCGUUAUCCGGAAUUAUUGGGCGUAAAGCGUCCGCAGGCGGCCCUUCAAGUCUGCUGUUAAAAAGUGGAGCUUAACUCCAUCAUGGCAGUGGAAACUGUUGGGCUUGAGUGUGGUAGGGGCAGAGGGAAUUCCCGGUGUAGCGGUGAAAUGCGUAGAUAUCGGGAAGAACACCAGUGGCGAAGGCGCUCUGCUGGGCCAUCACUGACGCUCAUGGACGAAAGCCAGGGGAGCG
This 379-nucleotide ribosomal RNA is filed under the name uncultured cyanobacterium. RNAcentral's name for it is "bacterial SSU rRNA". It matches the Rfam family "Bacterial small subunit ribosomal RNA", at positions 376 to 770 of the family's 1533-position model. The record is from RNAcentral. Lineage: Bacteria; Bacillati; Cyanobacteriota.